GAUGGACGCUGGCGGCGUGCCUAAUACAUGCAUGUCGAGCGAACAGAUGAGGAGCUUGCUCCUCUGACGUUAGCGGAGGACGGGUGAGUAACACGUGGAUAACCUACCUAUAAGACUGGGAUAACUUCGAGAAACCGGAGCUAAUACCGGAUAAUAUAUUGAACCGCAUGGUUCAAUAGUGAAAGACGGUUUUGCUGUCUCUUAUAGAUGGAUCCGCGCCGCAUUAGCUAGUUGGUAAGGUAACGGCUUAUCAAGGCAACGAUGCGUAGCCGACCGGAGAGGGUGGUCGGCCACCCUGGAACUUAGCCACGGUCCAGACUCCUACGGGAGGCAGCAGUAGGGAAUCUUCCGCAAUGGGCGAAAGCCUUGCGGAGCAACGCCGCGUGAGUUAUGACGGUCUUCCGAUCGUAAAACUCUGUUAUUAGGGAAGAACAAAUGUGUAAGUAACUAUGCCCGUCUUGACGGUACCUAAUCAGAAAGCCACGGCUAACUACGUG
RNAcentral lists this ribosomal RNA (497 nucleotides) under uncultured bacterium. RNAcentral describes it as "partial 16S ribosomal RNA". It matches the Rfam family "Bacterial small subunit ribosomal RNA", at positions 28 to 507 of the family's 1533-position model. The record is from RNAcentral.